UGUGAUCGUAAUGCUGUGUAGAAUAUUUUUAUGAACUUUUAUAUUUGUUUUACAAUUGUUCGUGUAUUGUUCUAAUUAUAGCUUGUUUGCUUUUUUUAUGAUUGUCUCCAUUGGAAUGCAUGUUGUUGAUUGAUGAUUGGGAAUAGACGGUGAGCCGUACGUUGGUGAUCAAGGCCAAUCUUUUGACGAUCGAAGGAGUUCUAGGAAAGCUUUGAUCAAGGCAAGUAUAACUUAGGACCAUCCUUGUUAGCUACA
Molecule: long non-coding RNA, 255 nt
Filed under: Sorghum bicolor (sorghum)
Lineage: Eukaryota; Viridiplantae; Streptophyta; Magnoliopsida; Poales; Poaceae
Description: long non-coding RNA (SBIC_LNC014339)
Source: RNAcentral